UACAGAGGUCCCGAGCGUUGUUCGGAUUCAUUGGGCGUAAAGGGUGCGUAGGCGGCCUGCUAAGUUUGAUGUGAAAGCCCGGGGCUCAACCCUGGAAUUGCAUUGAAUACUGGCGGGCUAGAGUACUGGAGAGGAAACUGGAAUUUACGGUGUAGCAGUGAAAUGCGUAGAGAUCGUAAGGAAGACCAGUGGCGAAGGCGGGUCUCUGGGCAAUAACUGACGCUGAGGAGCGAAAGCGUGGGGAGCGAACAGG
This 253-nucleotide ribosomal RNA is filed under the name uncultured bacterium. RNAcentral describes it as "partial 16S ribosomal RNA". It matches the Rfam family "Bacterial small subunit ribosomal RNA", at positions 524 to 776 of the family's 1533-position model. The record is from RNAcentral.